GCGAGGUUGAGGCCUCCCAGCAGGGGUUUCUCGAUUCCUUUGUCCCUUUAAGCCCCCUGGGGGUUGAGCCGGUCCCGGAGGCCUCUUUCCCCUCCAUGGCCAGUGACUGGUUUAGGCGCUGGCCAGCGACUCUCAGACCCAUGGGGCCGAGGGCAAGAUGGUGGGAAACUGGGGGACAGGGCGUUUUCACGGGUGGGGGAGGCCAGAGGCGGCCGGCCCUCUUCAUCCAGUCCCGGGCCCUUUGGGGACCACAGGCCACUGAUAGGACAGAAGCAGAGUGGGAAGUGCAUGUGUUUGGGGGGGCACUGGAGCCUCAGGUGUGACCGAGCAUGGCCUCCACCAGCCCUGACUGGUUCACUCGGCGUGUCAUGUGAUACCGCACACACACUGUUUCUGGAGGAGUUUUCAUUGCAUUUCCUCUAUUUUUGUAGCCGAUGCAUCUGACAGGAAGUCGUAGUUUUCAUUAGCUGAAGAAAAGGAUCUGCCUCCCCUCCCCUGCCAGGGUUCAGGAUCUCUCUAGAAGGCGCUCAGAGGAUGUAGACUGACUCACUGACUGACAGACUGACACGGCUCCGUGUAACCCAGGUACCGUGGACAUUCGCGGCGGCCUGUUUGGAGGAGGCUGCUGACUGGAGUGUGUGGAUCCCACGGUCCAGCCCAGCGCUCUGCACGGCCAGACCGUGGGAGAGAGAGUUCGAGAAACUGAGUACUGAGCAAGCAGGGGUCCAGGCCACGGCGCUGAGCGUGCCUGCGAGAGGACCCAGCCAGCUGGUGGGUGGGCACCAGAGGGUCCCUCUCACCAGGAGCCUGCCGGGCAAGCAGGCUUCAGCUUACAGGCAACCCUGGCUGGUCAGUCGUGUUCAGAAGGAUUCUGAAGUUGUGUCUAAAUUAGGCCUGGAUUAUCCCUUUGUCUCCCAAGGACACAAAUGAGGCAGCCCAUUCAGGCAGUUAUUUGUCCUCCUUGUCUGGGGCCUGGUUCUUGGCUUUCUGGGAGCAGGAAAGUCAGGGCGUCCUCCCAGAGCAGAGACGGUCAAGAGAGGGUCCAUGUAGCUCUUGAAAAAGAUCUCAUCCCUUUGACACAUUUUGUUCAAAAACAGUCUGACUCUGAGGCCCAGGGUCGUGCAGGUGGAGGCGCUGUUUCCGGCUGUCUCAGGUUUAUGAAGCUCCAUCUACCCCUGGAGCAGCCUCUUCCUCCGCCAGCGGCGGUGGCCAAACUCUGAUGCGUCCCCUCUUUUCAGAGGGACCCACGGUCGUGCUGUCCUGGCUCAGACUGGGGCGGGUAGGGGGGAGCCUGGCUUUCAGUCCAGCGGCUGCUUCUCUGACUGCGGCCUGUGGUGAGGCUGCAGGGCCCUGGGGCCCCGAGGUAGACCCGAGGACACCUGCUCUAAUGUCACAAUGCUGCUUCUGGUCGGGCUGCAGCUUUCCUCAGUGCCCGCUGGGCAGUGCCCCCUGCUCACCUGGGCUCUGUGGGAAGUGCAGGGGGUGUGAGCUUAGCCACCUCCAAGGGGAAGGGCGCAGGGUGCAGGGCAGAGGGGCUGGGGGCUUCAGCAAGGUCGGGGGAAGGCUCUGCCUGACCACCUGUAAAAGGACGGGACAGUCACUCCCUGAGGGGAGCAGCCCAGACAAGGACUGGGACAGGGACGGGACUCGGAGCGACACAGUUAGCUCAGAAUGUGCUCUACUCUGAGGGCUGGCACGGGGGAGGGAGGGGAGGGCCUGUGCUGGCUUCGGUGGGCAGCGGAGGAGGCGGGGAGCCCAGGUGGGGGCCCUGGCUGGAGGGCCUGGUCCCUGCAGAGGGUGGUACCACGGGCACUGGGGAGGGGCCCUUGCCUCCCCCUCCUUUGCCUCUUCUCCCCGCCCCUUUCCUCUCUCGCUGGGGUCUCCCCUCCACGUGCCUCCCUCCCCUGCCGCUUCCCAGGCAGGUGACAGGGCCGCUGCCUUCACCCGCCCCCUGGAGGGACGCACAGAGGAGCUGGGAAGGGGGCCGCCUGCCGGACCAGCUUGAAGAGAAGCAGAUGCAGCGCCUGGCUCGGGGGAGGUGGCCGAAGGACAUGACCUUCCUCCCGGCCUUUCUUUUGGGAAAGGAAGUCUUCGGACGUUUGUAGCAACUGAAUCAAUCUUGUCACUUUGAUAAGCAGGGUCCCGGUGCGGAGAAAGCUCCACACUUCCUCCGAUUGUUCCAGUUUAUUGAAUUUCAGCGUGUGGGACAUGAUAGGCCCGUUCCUGGGGAGCGCGGGAGGAAGCGGGGGCGGCCGGGGCUUCCGCGGGGCGCCCGGGGAGCAGCGCGGCCCGGGUUAUUCUUGGAAGUUAUUUUGAUCUCCUGGCCCCGACGGCUCAGGUUUCUGGCCGGGCCUCUGGGCCACGUAACGGGAGGAUGAGGCGCUUCAUUAUAAGAAUAGCCUCGGCGGCUCUUUGAGGGCACCGGGACCACGCUGGCUCAGCGGCGGGCCUCGGGGAGCAGUGAGGGCCGCUGCCGGAGGCUCCCGGGAGCGCAGCCUCUUCCCCGCGCUGCUGGGGAGCAGAGGUGACUCAAGAGGAGCCUGACUCAUGAGCUCCCCGGACAGGAAGGCCGGGCAGGCAGUGUAACGAAGAAAGUUCUGGUCCAAGCUGUUUAUAAAAUGGAACCUCUUGCCCUUGAAAUAGAAGCUCCUGAACCGGUGAGGGCGGGCGCCCCCCACCCGGGCCCCAGGCUUUGCUAUUUUAACUUCUGCGUUUAAGUCCUUUCUUCUUAUUAUAGAUGUUGCAUCACCUCCCUUUGGCUGCAGCACUGAAGUACCACGACCGGGGUGCUUAAACAACACAAUUUGCUUUCUCGGGGUGCUGCGCGCAGAAGUUGGAGACACGGUGCGGGCUGCGCUGCUUCCCGCUGAGGCCGCGCUCUCCCAGUCCCCCCCUGGCUUGUGAGAUGACGGCUUCAAUCUCCGCCUUCAUCGGAGCUGGCAUGCUCCGCGUGUGUUCACAUUUCCCCUUUUUAUGAGGACAGCAGGGAUACCGGCUCAGGGCCAGGCUACUCCAGGAUGACUCAUCUUAACUGAUUACAUGGGCAAGGACCCUAUUUCCCAAUAAAGUCACAGUGAAUUUUGGGGGGGAACACAAUUCAACCCACAAUAGAUGGAGUGGUACAUAUGCAUGGUGCAAAUCUAGAAAAUAGAAGCAAGCACAAAAGAAGAAGAAACCCUUUUAUCACUGAGUGAUCCUGGCUGUGAAUAUCUUAGAGGCCCGAAAAAAAAAAUCUUAAAAUUAGACAAAAUGAGUGUAUUGUUUCAUAUCUUUAUUCAAUGAUCUCUACCUUUCUACUUCACUAAAUUUCUUCUCAUCAAUAGUCUAUGUUCAAAAUGUGUGUUAUUUACCGGUAUCAACUUAUUUUGGGCCAAUUACACUGUGCGACACCUCACCUCCUGGAUUUGUCCCAUUGCUUCUUUGUGACAUUGUUUAGUUCGUCCUUCUGUCCCCUGUGUUGCCUGUAAAGUGGGGCUGUAGAGCCUCUGACGAGGUCAAGCUAAGCAUUUUUGGAUAGAAAGCAUUGAAGGCACUUCUAAGUGCCCCCCAGCAGAAGACAUGGAACAUCUGGUGCACCCAGGGCAGGCCUUGCCGGGCAUGGGGAUGGUGCCUUGAGGGGGGGUGUCCUGCAUUGGGUGCGAAGUGACACUUGGUGAUUGUGAAUGCUCCUGGCAGCCCUGAGGUUUAUGCUAGUUGAAGGUUUCUGAUAGUUGAGACAUGAACGCUCUCUUUUCUGGUGACAGCUGGCACUGGGAGAGGAAGUGUGGCAGGGCCUGCAGUGCCACCCGCAUCAGGGCCCUUUGGAGACCUCACCAGUCUCAAGAUUCUCAGUUCUAAGAAGUCCCGCCCUUGGGUUCCGACACUGAGUCCACUAAUGUUUUCCCACCAGACCUGGGCCUCGUGACGGUCCACGCCCCACACUGCGGUGUUGCAGGACGUGGCUGGAUCCCCGUCUCCCUCCCAGAACUUUUCCAGGAAGGACCAUAGCCCUUUCUCUCCAGCAUGCUACAGGGUUUUUGUUUUUGUUCCGCAAAGAGAAGCAGUUUACAGAGAAACACACAGACUUUAUGUGUAAAUUUGCUCAUCUUUUGACGAAUUCAUACACUCGUAUAACCCAAACCUCCAUCAAGAUACAGAAAAUUCCCAUCACCCGCAAAGUUCCUGCAGGCCCUUCCCAGUUAAUCCCGGCGUGGCCAGAGCUGACCACAGUUUCCGCUUCUCCCACAGUGGAUCACUUUGCCUGUUCUUCGUGUACACGGCAUCUACAGCACCAAGAUGGGCUUCCUCCUCGGCCUUGCAGGUGUCAGCACCUCACUGCCUCCUCCCUGCCGUGUUGUGCGAUCACGCCGCACAUUGCUCAUCCAGUCUCCUGUGGAGGGACACGUGGGCCGUUUCCAGGUCUCAGCUGUUAUCAAUAAAGCUUCAUGAAUCAUCACAUACAAAUAAUUGUGUGCACUAAUGUUUUCACGUCUCUUGGGUAAAUAUCCAAGAGUGAAAUUAGCGGGUCAGUAAAAGAGGGCGUAGCAUUUCCCUUCCUAUCGAUAGUGAAACGGAGUUCUGGUGUCGUCAGCCUAUUUAUUUUUUGCCAUUCUGCUGGCUGCGUAGUGCUGUUUCAGUGUGGCUCUAAUUUUUUUAUUUUUCGGCUACAUCUGAGGCGUACACAAGGUCCUGGGCCAGGGAUCGAAUACAAGCCACAGCUGCAACCUACGCCACAGCCACGGCAAUGCUAGAUCCUUAUCUCUUCACACUGGGCCAGGGAUGGAGCCCAUGCCACUGCAGAGACGAUGCCAGAUCCUUAACCUGCUACGUCACAGUGGGAACUCCAUUAACUGAAUUUCUUGUCAUCUUUCAGUGAAGAUAAUCAAAGAUACGUGGAUAGGAAGUGAUCUUUGAGUGACACUGUUUAGUUCGUCCCUCUGUCCCUUGUGUUGACAGAGGGACAAACUAAUUCUUCCUCAUUCCCAUUCUCUGGGUUUCUGGUGAGUCCAAUAGCAGGGGAUAGAGGCUGGUGGCGAGGUGGGGCUGGCCAGCACGGCGUGGUGUUCUAGAAGGUUCUGAUACAUUAGGGGAGACAGGGUUGGACAUGGAAAAAGGGCAGAGAAGACCCCUUGGCCCUAAAGUGUUCGCCAUAUGGGGUUUGUUGGGGGAAGGCAGUAGAAGUACAGAGACUGCAGCUGAGAAGAGGGAAGAAUUGACACGCUACCUCUAGGAGUGGACAAUUGCCCAUUGGAGAAUCACGGCGCCAGAGAGCUUUCUUGCAGUUCCAGGUAGAAUCCUGUUCUUUAAAUGGAGACUAUCAUUUGCUACCCUCCUUGGCAGAGGUUCCUUUGAGCCAGAGGAGCUCUGAGACCUCAGGGAACCAGCAGGAGCUCCCACCCUGCUCCAGGGUGACCCCCUGUCUCCUCCCUGCCCAGCUGGUGAUGGAGACCCCACCCAACCUUAUUCUUUGACCUUAUUCUGGUCCUUCCGUGGGGAGCACUGCCGCCCACUCCCGCUACUGCACCCCUUCAUCUACAGAGACUCAUUGUGGGGGGGCUUUACUAAGCCACCCUAGAAUGUCACUGGAAGACCCGAGAACAGGCCACAGGGAAGGAAUACAAGGAGAAGAAGAGAAAAAGAAGCUGGGAUGGCGAAGGGGGCAGGGGGAGGUGACAGUUGCUGUGGAGGGUCAGCAGCUGUAGACCUGAGCUGUCCGUUCCUGCUCCUGCCUCAGGUGAGACGUCCCCUCGGGGUCAGGGGGAAACGGGGCUGAGGACCCUGCAUCCUCUGGAGAGGCCACCUUACCUCCAAGCACAGGCUCAGAACACCUUUGGCCAAAAAGAAAUGGUCAACGGAUAUUAGGAAAGUAAGAAUUGACAGUCCAGAGAGAUCUCUGGCCACAAAGCCUUGUCUUAACUGGGGACGGUGCUGUCAGUUCCUGUUGCGGCUCAGUGGGUUAAGACUCCUGCAGUGUCCAUGAGGAUAUGAGUUUGAUCCCUGGCCUCCUUCAGUGGGUUAAGAUCCCACAUGGCCACACCUGCGCUGUAGGUCACAGAUGUGGUUCAGAUUCGACCCCUAGCCUGGGAGCUUCCAUAUGCGGCAG
This 6082-nucleotide long non-coding RNA is filed under the name Sus scrofa (pig). RNAcentral describes it as "lncRNA (ENSSSCG00000053277.1)". Lineage: Eukaryota; Metazoa; Chordata; Mammalia; Artiodactyla; Suidae. The record is from RNAcentral.